This 293-nucleotide signal recognition particle RNA is filed under the name Mus spicilegus (steppe mouse). RNAcentral's name for it is "Metazoan signal recognition particle RNA (ENSMSIG00000023263.1)". It matches the Rfam family "Metazoan signal recognition particle RNA". Rfam says of the family: The signal recognition particle (SRP) is a universally conserved ribonucleoprotein. The record is from RNAcentral. Lineage: Eukaryota; Metazoa; Chordata; Mammalia; Rodentia; Muridae.
GCCGGGCACGGUGGCGCACACCUGUAGUCCCAGCUACUCUGGAGGCUGAGACAGGAAGAUUACUUGAGUCCAGGAGUUCUGGGCUGUAGUGCUGAUCAGGUGUCCUCACUAAGUUCGGCAUCAAUAUGGUGACAUCCCGGGGACAGGGCACCACCAGGUUGCCUAAGGAGGGGUGAACCGGUUCAGGUCAGAAACAGAGCAGGUAAAAAUUCCCCGGGCUGAUCAGUAGUGGGAUCGCGCCUGUGAAUAGCCACUGCACUCCAGCCUGGGCAACACAGCGAGAACCCGUCUCU